GAUCAGUGACUAUCCAGUCCUUUCACAGACACUGACACAGGCAGCAUUAUGAUGAUGUUAAACUUUCUACUGCUGGUGAUGCUGGGACUCCUGGUACAGGAAUCAAUGGCAGAUAUAAUUCUGACUCAGUCUCCAUCAGCUCAGUCUGUCCAGCUGGGAGACACUGUCUCUAUCAGCUGUACAGCCAGUCAGAGUGUGGGCAGCUUGCUCAGCUGGUACCAGCAGAAACCUGGUCAGGCUCCUAAACCUCUGAUUUAUUUUUCCACGAGACGCCAGUCUGGGAUUCCUGAUCGUUUCAGUGGGAGUGGAUCUGGGACUCAGUUCACACUGAAAAUCGCUGGAGUCCAGGCAGAAGAUGCAGGAGAUUAUUACUGUCAGCAGUACAACAGCUACCCGCUCACACAGUGAUACAGAGCCAUACAAAAACCUCCCUCAGUUAGACUGCACAGAGACUGCACUGCUGCAGCUGGGACCAACUGCAGGUGCUGAGGGAGGGGGGAGGCACUGAACCGGGGCAAUGAGGGGCUGAGCAAAAUGCUGAGCUGUUUUUUGCAAUAAUUACUCUCAUAUUCUAAUAUCUAAUACAAUUUCUCUCAAUGUCAAUGUGAGUAAAUACAAAAACUUUUUAUUGAAAGAAUACACUUGAGACAUAGGAAUUUGUGAGAAUAAAUUUGUUUAAUCUCUUCUGAAACAUAAAAAGGAAGGGGGACCUUUUCACCACGUUGUAAACACAAGGAGAAGAUGCACAGAUUUAACAAAAGACUGAAAUUGAGAAUUGAAAUUCAAAUAUGUUCACUGGGCCAGAGGUGGGACUCAACACGCACAAAUGAAAUAUCUUGAAUGUAAAGUGUGUACAUAUUUGGGUUUUUUCCAGGGGUAAAUUAUAAUUAUGGAUCUAAAUAAGGGUUUUUUCCACAUUAGUCAAUGUUACUUUAAUAUUGAUGACGAGACCCUGAUGCAUUCUUAGACAAUUAUUUCCCCGAAGUUGCACAAGAUAAUUAGAUAUUAAUACCACAUAUCAAGUAGCUAAAUUAGCUAAAGCCUACAGAGCACAGAUUGGGAGGGUGGGGGUUGGUAUUUUUCCUGGAUGCACAGAAAUUUUGCAGUUCAGCAGUAAAUCAUGCACGUGUUCACCAAAUUACCAUUUCCUGUCAAACUGUUCAUUUUCUAAUCUAACAAAGCGAGUUAUUUUCUCCAUGGCAUGUUCUUCUUUUACAU
Non-coding RNA from Anguilla rostrata (American eel), 1218 nucleotides. Lineage: Eukaryota; Metazoa; Chordata; Actinopteri; Anguilliformes; Anguillidae. The record is from the annotation of a RefSeq genome assembly.